Molecule: long non-coding RNA, 1009 nt
Filed under: Capsicum annuum
Lineage: Eukaryota; Viridiplantae; Streptophyta; Magnoliopsida; Solanales; Solanaceae
Description: long non-coding RNA (CANN_LNC005963)
Source: RNAcentral
GCAAUUAUAACAUCAAGUCAAAAGGAGAAAAUUAAACCCUUUUCCAAUCAUAUGAAAUGAAGUGACCUUUAUUGAACCUUAGGAAAAUCAUAAAUAAUGGUUCAAAUUUGCACAGUAAAACAAACAUAAAUCAGUUUUGGUGAGUCGUUCCAUGUUUAGCUGGUGGAGCUUGUGGACAGCCACAUUGAUGUGUAGCCAAGUUACAUAUGGGAUGUGCAUCUAUGCAUCUCACAGCCUUUGCACAAUCGGCAUCUUUAGUGCAUCCUGCCGCAUGACUUCCUUGUCCUAGCAAAAUUGACAUCGUUCACUAGUUCAGUGACAUACGUAGAAUUUUUCUUAGAUAUUAAUAUUUUAAAAAGUGAAUAAACGAAUGAAUUACUAUAAUAAGCGGUUCAUCUCUCUCUCUCUAUAUAUAUAUACUUAUUUCCUCUGUUCAAAUUUAUGUGGCAUACUUUGAAUUUUGAGAAUCAAAUUAUUUAAUUUUGAUCGUGAAUUCGGCCAUGGGAUCUUCAAAUUUUUUGAAAUAAAAUUUUUACAUUUGGAACCUAAGUAAAAGGUACUAUGAGUUACCAUGAUUGACAAUUCAAAAUAUUUAACAAGUAUAUAAAAAAUUACGGUCAAAAAUGAACUUGUUUGAAUGUUGAAGUCUAAAAUUUAUCACAUAAAUUAGGAUGGAGGGAGUGUAGUAAAAAUAUUUGAUGAAACAGUGUCCUGUGCCACCACUUGGGGCAAGGUAAUCCGCCAAGGAAUAAGUUUUAGUGGUAUAACUGAAAAUAAAUGAUAAGCGACAUACUAUAUAUGAUAUGUCAAAUUAUCCAUGAAUAACAUAAAAAUUAUUGCAUUAUCAAUGUAUAUAACAUAAGUCCUCAUUAUAAUAUAAAAAGGACACACAAAUUGCAACACUAUAGAUAUGAAAAUUGCUUACCAGACAAAAUAAGCAAAAGGGAGACCAAGAAAAUCUUAAGAAAUGUUGCCUUUUCCAUUCUCUUGAAAGUCUACAGUAUAUGUG